UACGGAAGGCAGCAGUGGGGAAUAUUGCACAAUGGGCGAAAGCCUGAUGCAGCUAUGCCGCGUGUAUGAAGAAGGCCUUAGGGUUGUAAAGUACUUUCAUCGGGGAGGAAAAAACAAAACUAAUAAUUUUAUUUCUUGACGUUACCCGAAAAAGAAGCACCGGCUAACUCCGUGCCAGCAGCCGCGGUAAUACGGAGGGUGCUAGCGUUAAUCAGAAUUACUGGGCGUAAAGAGCACGUAGGUGGUUUUUUUAAGUCAGAUGUGAAAUCCCUGGGCUUAACCUAGGAACUGCAUUUUGAAACUGAAAUACUAGAGUAUCGUAGAGGGAGGUAGAAUUCUAGGUGUAGCGGUGAAAUGCGUAGAUAUCUGGAGGAAUACCUGUGGCGAAAGCGGCCUCCUAAACGAAUACUGACACUGAGGUGUGAAAGCGUGGGGAGCAAACAGGGAUUAGAUACC
RNAcentral lists this ribosomal RNA (456 nucleotides) under uncultured bacterium. Its description in RNAcentral is "bacterial SSU rRNA". It matches the Rfam family "Bacterial small subunit ribosomal RNA", at positions 340 to 786 of the family's 1533-position model. The record is from RNAcentral.